CAGAGGGUGCGAGCGUUAAUCGGAAUUACUGGGCGUAAAGGGUGUGUAGGUGGUUAUAUAAGUUAGAUGUGAAAUCCCCGGGCUCAACCUGGGAACUGCGUUUAAGACUGUAUAACUAGAGUACUGUAGAGGAUAGUGGAAUUUCCAGUGUAGCGGUGAAAUGCGUAGAUAUUGGAAGGAACACCAGUGGCGAAGGCGACUAUCUGGACAGAUACUGACACUGAGACACGAAAGCGUGGGGAGCAAACAGGAUUAGAUACCCUGGUAGUCCAUGCUGUAAACUAUGAGAACUUGCUGUUGGAUGCAUAAAGGCAUUUAGUAGCGAAGCUAACGCGUUAAGUUCUCCGCCUGGGGAGUACGGUCGCAAGACUA
RNAcentral lists this ribosomal RNA (372 nucleotides) under uncultured organism. RNAcentral describes it as "bacterial SSU rRNA". It matches the Rfam family "Bacterial small subunit ribosomal RNA", at positions 526 to 896 of the family's 1533-position model. The record is from RNAcentral.